AUUGAACGCUGGCGGCAUGCCUUACACAUGCAAGUCGAACGGCAGCACGGGAGCAAUCCUGGUGGCGAGUGGCGAACGGGUGAGUAAUAUAUCGNNNCGUGCCCAGUCGUGGGGGAUAACGUAGAGAAAUUUACGCUAAUACCGCAUACGAUCUAAGGAUGAAAGCGGGGGACUCGCAAGAGCCUCGCGCGAUUGGAGCGGCUGAUAUCAGAUUAGGUUGUUGGUGAGGUAAAAGCUCACCAAGCCGACGAUCUGUAGCUGGUUUGAGAGAACGACCAGCCACACUGGGACUGAGACACGGCCCAGACUCCUACGGGAGGCAGCAGUGGGGAAUUUUGGACAAUGGGCGAAAGCCCGAUCCAGCAAUGCCGCGUGCAGGAAGAAGGCCUUCGGGUUGUAAACUGCUUUUGUACGGAACGAAACGGUCCUUUCUAAUAAAGAGGGCUAAUGACGGUACCGUAAG
This 463-nucleotide ribosomal RNA is filed under the name uncultured Pseudomonadota bacterium. RNAcentral describes it as "bacterial SSU rRNA". It matches the Rfam family "Bacterial small subunit ribosomal RNA", at positions 30 to 484 of the family's 1533-position model. Lineage: Bacteria; Pseudomonadati; Pseudomonadota. The record is from RNAcentral.